Molecule: long non-coding RNA, 1454 nt
Organism: Hydra vulgaris (swiftwater hydra)
Lineage: Eukaryota; Metazoa; Cnidaria; Hydrozoa; Anthoathecata; Hydridae
Source: RefSeq, a predicted model, not a curated record
AAAGACUUUUGUAUAGCUAUUAUAACUUUUUACCAGAGAAUUGCUUUAUAUGGCUUUGAAUUCGAAAAUUAAUGAUUUUAUAAUAAUUGUGAUUAAUUUUGAAUGGAAUAUCAGAUCAUAAUAAAAAAAAAAAUACAAACAUGUUGCAACUUGUAUAUCUUCAAACAUGCAUUUUUAAAUCUUUCGUUAAAAAAUGGUUUUACUUAGUUAAGUCUCAACUUUAAGUUGAGUUGAACUUCACUCAAGACUAAAUUCACGUGAGGAGUACUGUUUGAUAGACACAACUACAUAGUUAUUACUUACUCAAGACUUAAUUUUUUAACAACUACGAAGACUUCGUAGUUGUUCGUAGACUUCGUCAUAGUUAUCUGUAUCAUACAUAAUUUUUAUGUAUCAUUCAGUGUACAUGUACACUGUAUGACGUACAAUGUACAGGCUAAGUUCUUAAGUCUUAUACACACAAUGUAUUUAGUAUAUAUAUACGUUCUGUAUCAUACAGUGUAUACACUGUAUGAUACAGAAUGUAUACAUAUACUACAUACAUUGACAAUGUCAUUGUGUGUAUAAGAGUUGAGAAUUUAGCCUUAAUGUGGGAGCUACGACUUAAGUCUUAACUCUCUCAAGUUGAGUCUUAACUUUAGAUUAUACACUAAUAUACAAUAUGUAAAUCAUUUAAAUUUUACUAAAUGUAUGAUACUGAGUAGUUAUCUAUAUUGUACAGAUUUUAUUGUACAGUGUACUACAUAAUAUGUCGUACAUUUUUAUUUAUACUGUGUGUACCAUAUACAUUGUUAGUAAAUAUAGUUAGUGCUAAUAUUGUUUAAUUAUCAUUUUCAAACUUUUUCAUAAAAAAUUAAUGAAUAAGUUUGGUUAAAUUUGUAUAAAAUCCCUUUUUUUUUUCUUUUUUUUUUUUUAAGCUAUGCAAGUACUCUGUAAAGGUAUUGUUUUAAAAUAAACAAAUUAAAUCAGGAAAAGAAGUGAUUGUUAUAGAACUCAGAAAGGCUGAAAAGCGAAACGAAGGCUGUUAAAGAAAAAAAAGGUUGUUAAAGAAAAAAAAGGUUGUUAAAAAAAUUAGAAAGGUUAAAUAACGAGAAGAAGUGGUUUUUAAUGGAAAAAUCAGAAAGGUUGAAUCACAAGAAGAAGUCUUAAUAAAAGAAUUUGAUAGGGUUAAAUUAUGCAAAAAAGUGGUUGUGAAAAGAAAUCACAUUAAUUGUUUGUUUGAGAGCAAUAGUUUUAGCAGCAGUUAUGGCAAUGUCUAAAGCUCGUCAAACCAAAGAUGCAAGUUCAAAGAUUUCUAUCAAAUUGUAUCAAGAGGAGCAUUCGAACGUUAUAGUUGCUCUCAAGCGAAGUGAAGAUUCAAGAUUCGUAAGGAUGCUUAGCAGUUGAGAAGAACAUUAAUAUGUUUGAAUAUAUUUUGUACGAAUAUUUUAACAUAAUUAUAAUAGUUAUUGCAA